This 492-nucleotide ribosomal RNA is filed under the name uncultured bacterium. RNAcentral describes it as "partial 16S ribosomal RNA". It matches the Rfam family "Bacterial small subunit ribosomal RNA", at positions 29 to 507 of the family's 1533-position model. The record is from RNAcentral.
AGUGAACGCUGGCGGUAGGCCUAACACAUGCAAGUCGAACGGCAGCACAGUAAGAGCUUGCUCUUACGGGUGGCGAGUGGCGGACGGGUGAGGAAUACAUCGGAAUCUACUUUUUCGUGGGGGAUAACGUAGGGAAACUUACGCUAAUACCGCAUACGACCUACGGGUGAAAGCAGGGGAUCUUCGGACCUUGCGCGAUUGAAUGAGCCGAUGUCGGAUUAACUAGUUGGCGGGGUAAAGGCCCACCAAGGCGACGAUCCGUAGCUGGUCUGAGAGGAUGAUCAGCCACACUGGAACUGAGACACGGUCCAGACUCCUACGGGAGGCAGCAGUGGGGAAUAUUGGACAAUGGGCGCAAGCCUGAUCCAGCCAUACCGCGUGGGCGAAGAAGGCCUUCGGGUUGUAAAGCCCUUUUGUUGGGAAAGAAAAGCAGCAGGUUAAUACCCCGCUGUUCUGACGGUACCCAAAGAAUAAGCACCGGCUAACUUCGUG